CACUUCUGGACUUUUUGCCAGCUGACAGAACGUACAGGAGACUCCUUCCAUACAACGGGUAAUGCAACUGAGCAAUUUGUUGCCAGAAAACACAGUGCCAAACCCAGUUCAAAACUCUGGCCUUUCUCUGUCAGACUGACCAUCUUCCUAUGAGGUUCCAGUUACAACACCUGCCAUCUGCUUGAGCGUGAUGUCUCUCCUGGACUUUCUGGAACCAGUUCCCAGUGAAUGCCAUCCCUUAAUAAAGUAGAAUACACACUCAAGGGUGCGAAGGAGCCCUCAAUGCCCCAGUUGGGGUUAUCAACUACUUUCAGACUGGUUGUAGAAAAGAAACUCAAGGACUGACUUCAGAUUUUCACUUCAUCAAAGUAAC
Long non-coding RNA from Rhincodon typus (whale shark), 373 nucleotides. RefSeq lists it as uncharacterized. The record is from RefSeq and is a predicted model, not a curated record. NCBI's taxonomy places the organism in Eukaryota, Metazoa, Chordata, Chondrichthyes, Orectolobiformes, Rhincodontidae. The transcript is spliced from 4 exons.